UACAGAGACUGCAAGCGUUGUUCGGAUUCAUUGGGCGUAAAGGGUCCGUAGGCGGUCGGUUAAGUCGGAUGUGAAAUCUCGUGGCCUAACCACGAGCGGUCAUUCGAAACUAAUCGGCUAGAGGGCUGGAGAGGAGACUGGAAUUGUCGGUGUAGCGGUGAAAUGCGUAGAGAUCGACAAGAACACCGGUGGCGAAGGCGGGUCUCUGGGCCGUAACUGACGCUGAGGAGCGAAAGCAUGGGGAGCGAACAGG
This 253-nucleotide ribosomal RNA is filed under the name uncultured bacterium. RNAcentral's name for it is "partial 16S ribosomal RNA". It matches the Rfam family "Bacterial small subunit ribosomal RNA", at positions 524 to 776 of the family's 1533-position model. The record is from RNAcentral.